AAACUGAAUGGUUGAAAUGACCAAAAAAAAAGGUUGCAACCAUUUAAAAUGGUUGUUUCAACCAAUUAAAUUGGUUAAAACCAAAUUAAAAUGGUAGAAAUAACCAAUAAAAAAUUGGUAAAAUGGAUAUGAAAGCUCAUAUUGGUAAAAACAACCAAAUAUAUUUAGUAGCAACAAAUAAAAUUUGGUUAAAUUUACCAAUUACUCUUUGUGGUCAAUGGGGUAUAUUUGUAGACUUCUGGUUCUAUGUUCUAUUGAAUCCAAUAAAAUAUGCUAGAAUGCUAUAGCACAUUCUAAAUCCUAUGGCUAUAGAAUAUUCUAUAGGACUUCUUAUGAUCUUAUGCUAUAUAGAAUUCCAUUGCCGUAUUCUAUAGAAUUCACAAAUCCUAUAGAAUUUACAAAUCCUAUAGAAUAUUAAAUCUUAAAAUUAAAUUUCUCAGCAAAAAUCACUCGUUUUGUAAGGACAAAUCACACAUGCAUGUAUCUGUAAACUGUCUUCAUAAUAUACCUGUUCGCAGGUUACGUGGCGGGCGUUUUGCCCAAAGAGGACCGCAAGGUUAUGUGGGACUUGUAUAACCGACACGCGUUAUUUUCAAAUUUUGAGCGCGUCUUUGACUCUUUGUCAUCGGUUCAAGGUUUUAUAGUAGAAUUUAGUGAGUUUUUCUUUCGUAUUUUAACAUAAAAUACGCGUUAUUUGAAUUUGUCAAUGAGUAGUCAUGCGAAAUUGGUGAAACACGCUGGAUUAAUAUGCGAGGAGAUCCGGAUUAUUUGUGAAUAGUGACUGUGAUCGCGAGGAAGAAGUAAUUGUGUCAUGGCCAUGUGGAAUUUCUAAAGUUGAUAAGAAAAUAAUCAAAGGUUCCAUUCAACUAUCUACAAUUUCAACAACAACAUGUGUACAGCUAAAGUAUUAUAAUUCAGUGGCUUCAAGAUCACCUUUAAGUGCAAGAUUCUUGUGACUGAUGCUGAAUCAGAAAUCCUCAAAUUCUGAUGCUGAAUCAGAAAUCCUCAAAUUCUGAUGCUGAAUCAGAAAUGGCAAGUAUUAUUGUAUUUAUGCUGUCAAAACUCAACAACUGUAAAUCCUACUUCUGGUGAAUCAUAUAGAUAAUAUAAUAUACCUUUUAUUUAUAUCAUUAUAAAUAGGGCCAUUACAACUAUUUCUGUCAAUGCUUUUGCAGUACAUUUAUAAAUUCUAUAGCUAUAUCAUGGCAUCAUGCUAAGAAUGAAUAAGGUGUCAAAUGUUUAAAUUUCAUAUUUACUGUUAAAAUUUACAGAUUUUCUUAUAUCCAAACAUAUUAACCAAAGGUCAAAAUUUGGUUUAUGCAAUUAUGGGCAUGUCAAGGAUGCAAGAACAACUUUGCUCUCAUUCCAUCCCUGGGAAACUUUCAAAUUAUGCCUUUAAAGAAAAGGAUGCAAAACCCCAACUCGACCCAGAGAAAGUUAAGAGUAUAUGUGGUAAGUAGUAAUUGUUAGUAACUAUUUGUGGAAGUUAAUAUAUCUUAUAUACAUAUCUUGGUUUAUCUAAUUGUUGACUUUUACUUUUUCUGUGUGUAGAGCAUCAUUUCGAUGCACAUGGUUAAGAUGCCCAAACAUUGAUUCAAAGAAGCCAUCAAUGCUGGCUGUUCUGGAAAAGAACAAGAACAAAGAUGUCCAACACAUUAUUGGUCUAUUAGAGGAUUGUCACCCGAACUAGAAAAAGGAUGACAGUGGUGUUGAAAUUUAGACCAUUGUAAAAAAAGAACAUUCCCGAAGUUGCUAUUAACUGGAUCUCUUGGUUACAUCCAUUCACUGGACCUUUUGGCUGAAGGCAUGGUAGCAAUAAAGUUUAAGCAGUUUUCCAUCUUAAAUGCUGUUGUGUGUUUGCUGACUGCAUUGUAUGUAUCCAACGCAGAGAACCCUAAAGAUGGAGGUGGGUAGACAAAGAAUGUGUUCCUUCUUCUGGACCAGA
Molecule: long non-coding RNA, 1945 nt
Organism: Dendronephthya gigantea
Lineage: Eukaryota; Metazoa; Cnidaria; Anthozoa; Malacalcyonacea; Nephtheidae
Exons: 3
Source: RefSeq, a predicted model, not a curated record